CACGUAGGGCGCGAGCGUUGUCCGGAAUUAUUGGGCGUAAAGAGCUCGUAGGCGGCCUGUUGCGUCCGCUGUGAAAUCCCGAGGCUCAACCUCGGGUCUGCAGUCGAUACGGGCAAACUAGAGUAUUGCAGGGGAGACUGGAAUUCCUGGUGUAGCGGUGAAAUGCGCAGAUAUCAGGAGGAACACCGGUGGCGAAGGCGGGUCUCUGGGCAAUAACUGACGCUGAGGAGCGAAAGCGUGGGGAGCGAACAGG
Molecule: ribosomal RNA, 253 nt
Filed under: uncultured bacterium
Lineage: Bacteria
Description: partial 16S ribosomal RNA
Rfam family: Bacterial small subunit ribosomal RNA
Source: RNAcentral